RNAcentral lists this long non-coding RNA (2172 nucleotides) under Nicotiana benthamiana. Its description in RNAcentral is "long non-coding RNA (NBEN_LNC027098)". Lineage: Eukaryota; Viridiplantae; Streptophyta; Magnoliopsida; Solanales; Solanaceae. The record is from RNAcentral.
UUCAUUUGUCUCUCACCAACCCUAGAGACACCCAUGUAUUCCACCGCCUUACUCUACCACUGAAAAUCAUGGCUGUUCCGGUGGCCCAAUACCUUCCCAAAUUACACCAUAGAACCCCCUCACUCCUCUCUUUCCAAAUCCCUGAUCCGUUUCCUUCAAAUAUCCAUUUGAAUCCACAAACCCUAGCGUCGCCAUAGUUUCUUAUGUGGCGGAGCCACCUCCCCUCAACCCCAAACUAACACCCCAUGACCUCCUUUGUCCCCACACCGCAAAACUCCAGUCCAUUGCCUUCAAAUCGUAGUCAAACUCAUCCAAUUUCAGAUCGAAAAAGUAGGACACAUGCCCUAAAAAUCGAACAGGAAAGUUUACUGAUUGUUUGAGAUCGAGAUUGACUUUAUUCGUGUGUUUUCAUUUGAAAACACAUGAUUAUGGUCUAUUUCGGUCUAAAUCAAAGGAAAGAAGAGUAAUUUCAGAAUUUUAUCUGCCUGCCCCGUAGGUAUUUUCAAUUCCUUUUCCUUUCUUUCAUCUUUUGGUUACGUUUAAAUCUUCAUCUCCUCUUACUUCGUCUUUUCUAUUUUGUUUUUCUUUUAAAAUAAUUAUGUUCGUAUGUUUAAAAUUAAAGUUUGUUCAUCCAUGUCGUUUAAUUUCUUUGUUCUAUGUGUAAUUUUAUUUUUGUUUCUGAUGUUCAAAGAGUGGAACUAUGAUUCCCUCUUGGAAAACUCCGUCAAAGCCCAGUAAUUCUAUAUGGGCUCUGUUAAUCAGAAGCCUAAGGAAAUGGACUCAAUACAGGUGUUAAGCCCAUUGUCUCGAGGUUGAACUUGGGUUCAAUUUCACCCGUAUCCGUUUGGUAUGCUAGGGUAAUUAAUAGAAUAUUAAGUAGUUAAUAGAGGUUUCAGGGGGUGGUUUGGGAAUUUGAAUCUUUAGUAACUAGCUUAGCAGGUUGCUAACAAAGAUGGUGGCACACUAACUGAAUUUUUAAUAAUAGCGCUAGGUUAGUGUAGCACUAAUUCAGCUAGUGAUGAAUUAAAAAAAUAAAAAGAUGAAUUGAUAAUGGGAAGGUCACUAAUUGAAUGACUAUUUAAAGGCCGAAAUAACGAACAAAUAGGAAGAGGAGAAAAGAAUCUGAGAGAAACACACAUUUUUUAGAGUAAGAGAUUAGACAUUUUGAAAAUAGAGAGAGAUACACUAAGAACAGUCAAAGAUUUUGAAAAUACUUAGAGCAAUAGGGAUCAAGUCUUAAGCAAUCUCAAGUUGAAAAACAUUCUGCAAAAGCUUGAGAGAUAGACAUUCAGAUACGCAAUAAGAGAGAGCUUGAUAUGUAGACAGAGAUUAAGACAGAGCUGGGUUAGCUUUUCUAUUAUUUGGUGGAUGGGAGUUAAUCUCAUUCUGAUUAGCUGUUGUGGUUGAUUUUACUGUUACAUUGCUGAUCUACUGGACUGUGUCUGCUGUUGACUCUUUACUGAUUUCCCAUUUUGAUUCCUUCUUGAUUUCGAGGUACACUUCUUUGAACUCUGUACAAUGUAAUGUCAAUUUGAAGCAUGAAUGGACAAGUUAAAGUGACCUCAUUUUACAAAAUGUUGGCACAGUUAGUUGUUUUACUAAUUUAAUUUGUAACGUAAACUAAAUAUUGUUUCUAUAAUGAACAACUGAAAUCUCGGAGUAGUGUUUAGUUUAGGGACUUUUUUAAAAAUGUUUUUUUUGUCAAGUAGUCAAUCAUAAUAGUACGCCAUAGCUCUGUUUUGCUGUUUCUUCGAGUCAUCAUUUAUGUUUGAAAAGGAUUGCAUGUUUGGUUGUUGUUAAAGAGGUUUGAAAAGGGUGAUGUUUAGUGUUUGUUGAUUCUAUUAGAUUAUAUAUGAGGUAGCUGGGUUGUUGUAUGGCUUGUGUUGGGUUUUGAAGGUCAAUUGUUAAUAGUUUGGGUAGAUUGAAUACCGAAAAGAAUGAGUUAGUGUUAAUUUGCCAUUUGUUUGAUCCACCGCCUACACAAUAUUUUUGUAAGAUUUAAGUGGUGGAUUGUCUCGUGAGCACAUGUAAUUGCCCCUCUGUUUUGGUCUUCAAAAGUGCUUGUGAAUUGUUUUAGGCGAAUCAUAUUAGACAUAGCAAAAAUUGAUUAUGGCACUACUAUAUUAACAUAGAAACCGUAGAAACCGUUAAGUAGAGUAUUUUGAGGUGUGC